AGGAUAAGCGACAUCGGGGCAGGUCCUGGGUAGAGUCCAGGUUGGCGGUUCCUGGGGCAGGGCCAGGAUAGGGCGAUCCUGGAAGCUGGGCUUCGGAAGCGUCCAGCUGUUGUUCCCCACCAGAACCAAAUGAGCGCAAGAUCUGACAAAGAAAAAAAAAGUCCCUGUAUCCUGAGAUGGAGUCACCUGAGAAUCCACAGCAAGUCCUAACCAGGGAUGGGUCUGGGUGAUUAAGGAAGGUUGGCUUCAGAACUGGGCCAGGGGCACUGCUUUGCUUUUGCUGUUUUGAUCAGCUCUCUGCCUGAAGGAGACAAGAAAAACCAACGGGAACAGCUGGGGAAACUGAGUUACAGAGCUUGUCUGCACUGAGUCAUCAGGAGCAAAUGCUAGAUCAGAUAGGGUCUCUCUCUCUGCCACCCAGGCCAGAGUGCAGUUGACGCAGGGCAGGGGAGCCCCGAAGUGGAGCAUAGUGUGUCCGGAACUGGUGGGUUCUUGGUCUCACUGACUUCAAGAAAGAAGCCGCGGACCCUCG
Molecule: long non-coding RNA, 532 nt
Filed under: Homo sapiens (human)
Lineage: Eukaryota; Metazoa; Chordata; Mammalia; Primates; Hominidae
Description: non-protein coding lnc-ZNF705D-2:33
Source: RNAcentral